Molecule: RNA transcript, 2535 nt
Organism: Microplitis demolitor
Lineage: Eukaryota; Metazoa; Arthropoda; Insecta; Hymenoptera; Braconidae
Gene: thoc7
Gene name: THO complex subunit 7 homolog
Exons: 4
Source: RefSeq, a predicted model, not a curated record
UUGUCUUUUGCGUGGCAGGGAAAAAACGAAUUAUUUGCUUUUAUCUUUAUUACCCUAAAAAAAAUUUAAUACCUAUCAGAGGCUAUUAGUUUAUUGUUGUGGUUUUCCCCGGAUAAAUUAUGAUAUAAUCUACCAUAAUGUGUUUGAGUUUGAAUAACUCAUAAGGAAACAAUGGGAUUCCAAAAUAUUUCCGAGCUCAAGGAGCUCGAAAAUAGCGAGAAGUUUUGGGGCUGGUCCGCAGGGCCAACUGAUGCCCAGAUUUUUUUUCCUGGGGCACGACGGCCCACUCCUGAGUUUUUUUAGAGUGGUCUAUUUUACCCCACAUAUCAAUAUUGGACUAAAAUAUGAUAAAAACAUUAUAGAGCUCAUAACUUGACGAAAAAUAAAAAAAAAAAUUUUUAUAAUUAAUAAAGUAAAGGAUAAAAUUAAUAAAAUAAAGAAAGGAUUUUUUGCUUCAAAAUAUUUUUACUUGCACCAAGAAAUUUAAUGCAUCAUGAAUUAAAUUCAAAAAUUUUCCUGGGGCAAGAAAAGAUUGUUUUGGUCAAGAAAUAAUUUCUUGCGCCAAGUAAUUUUAUUUAGUUUUAAAUAAAUUUUCGUUUUCAAUUCACAAUGCAAAAAAUUUCUUGAGGUAAGUAAAAAGCUUCUUUAGGCAAGUAAAAAUUUUUUGCGUCAAUGAAUUUUUAUUUUCUAUGUAUGCUAUUUUGGCUUUGAAAAGCUCCCAAAAACCAAAAGGGAGUAUAAAAAUGUCAUUUUGAAAUUAGUAACGCUAUAUAAAUAAUAUAGCUAUAUAUUUAGUGACAGAAGAAUUAAAAUAUUAAUUUGUUUAGAGAAAAUAAAUACGAUCGUCUUUUUUUCCGCGUAAUUUAAAUGUUAUUCGAAUGAUAUAGAUAAAUCGAUUCAUCUCAAUGCUUGGCUAUUGCCAAAAGAGUUUAAACUAUGGAAUGGCGUAAAUUCAAGUCAAGACCUUUCUAACGAUACCAAAUUAAAUAACAUUAAUCAAUUAUAUCAUAUAGAUAUACAGGAACAAAAUUUUUCUUAUUCUCUUAAUAAUAUAGAUUAUAUACAAAAAAAAAUAAUUGAAGUAUAAUUUUUGAAUUGUGUUUUAUUAAUCUGAUUAACUACUCAUAUUUUGUCCUUAUCUUGAUCAAAUUAUCAUGGGCUGUCCAUCACUUUCAAUCUUAAAAAUUUUACAACUCAUAGUUGUAUGCUGUAUUUUGGGUCUUGACGUACUAACAAAAAAUUAUUUAAAACCCAAUAACAGCAGUAAUAUUUUAAAUGAAUUAGUUGAACCUCAAAACAAUACAUUGACAAUUCCUUAUUUAAAUAUUAAAAUAAAUGCAGAGUCAAUACCAACACAAUAUAUUGCGACUGGUACAGUUUUCGCAUAUUUAAUUAUUAUAUUUGUAUCACUUAUCAGUGGUACAUUUGCAGCACCUAUUAGUAGAUUCACCAAUGUUACCUUUUGUCUUAUUGGAAGUUUUUUUUUUGUCUUAUCUGGAUCACUACUCAUAAAUGAUUUUCGGGCUAUCACUUUUGAAAAUAUUAAGACAAGUUUUGAAAAAUCAUUACAAGAUGCACGUAGUUUUAAUAUUGCUAAAGGAUCACUAUGCAUUUUAGAAUCAUGUUUACUUCUUCUUGAUGCUCUAUCAAAUUUUCUUCUUUUUUUAUAAUUUCAGUUAUUAUUUAUAACUUUUUAUUUGUACGUUAAAUAAUAAGUACUCAUUAUUUAAUCCUUUAAUUUAAAAAAUUAUUUCAUUUCAUAAUUAAAUUUUUAUUUUAUAAAUUCAAGGAAUUACAAAAAUAUUUAAGUAAAGAAAUUUAAGUUUACAUAACUAAAUAUUUUAAUUAUUUAUUAAAUAAACAUGUCAUUAAGUAUUUUUAUACUUUAGCUGUUGUAAUUAAACAACUAAUUAUCAUAGAAAAUUAAAAAAAAUGUAUACAUUAACUAUUAAAAUAAAAAAUUAACUGCACGUAUUUGCUUACACGGCAAAACAAAAAUAAUGAUUACUUGUAAUCAUAAGAAUAUAAAGAAAUAACGUAAUUGUGGUGAAAAAAAUAUCAGAAAAGUCUUAGUCAACUUUAUUCUUCAGCUCGGUAAGUAAUAACUAUGUCGAUGAGGAAUAAAAUAGAUUGACCAACACAGAAACAUCCUCUGACCACUUGAUCAAUAUUUCGGACAUAUCCAAGCACCAUGAAUGAAACAGUAGUGAAAAGAAUACAUCCUACUACACUGAAAUAAAUGUCCUGGGUUUGAGACUACGAAACAAAUGACGAUCAAUCAUAAUUUAAAAUUACAAUUCAAAUAUUUCCCGCGUUAAUAUUAAAAAAUGGCUGACUGUCAAAACUACGCAUGCGUUGGUUUCAUUGAAGAAAAUUAAAGCGCAUGCGCAGGAACGGUAAUUGUAGAAAAAUGGUGGGGAAGUCACAUUUUUCUCCGGACUCAAUUUGAUGUGAAUGUGAGAAAUAUAAACAUAAAAUUAUAACCUCUAAGUGCCGGUUAGAAAGCUUGUAAAUAAUUAAACAAAAUAAAUAAAU